Non-coding RNA from Acanthosepion pharaonis, 94 nucleotides. The record is from the annotation of a GenBank genome assembly. Lineage: Eukaryota; Metazoa; Mollusca; Cephalopoda; Sepiida; Sepiidae.
ACAUCACUGGUUCCCAUAUGAUCACUGAAGUUAAGUAAUGUAGAGCCUUGUCAAUACUAAGAUGCGUGGCCACUUGGGAAUACCAGGUGCUAUA